GAUUUACAGAUACCCAAAGAGCUGCCUGCAGCAGAGAAGGUUGAACUUCUUGUGACACAGUGGGAGGCAGAGCGCAAGAAAGAGCCAAGUGAGGAUGUCUUCAUGGUGCCAGCCAACAUCUUGGUGAUCCCUCCUGAAGAGGAGGAAGUUUGUGAUGCCUCCAAGGUAGAUGCAUGUGAAAUGACUCCAGGGAAGAGCAGUGAUGACCAAAUGGUGCCAGGUGACCAAAGUGCCAUAUCCCAAGUCAGC
This is a long non-coding RNA of Rhea pennata, 249 nucleotides long. RefSeq lists it as uncharacterized. The record is from RefSeq and is a predicted model, not a curated record. NCBI's taxonomy places the organism in Eukaryota, Metazoa, Chordata, Aves, Rheiformes, Rheidae. The transcript has 3 exons.